UUCGAUAACGAACGAGACCUUGACUGUUAGGUUGUGUAGCUGGUCUAUGGCUGGUUGAUGCUACUAACAGGACUGACUAUGGUUAAUAGUCGGAGGUUUGAGGCAAUAACAGGUCUGUGAUGCCCUUUGAUGUUCUGGGCUGCACGCGCGCUACACUGACAAAGACAAAAGGUAGACCUUGGUUGAGAGACCAGGGAAAUCCGGAAUGUUUGUCGUGCUGGGGAUAGAUCAUUGCAAUUAUUGGUCUUGAACGAGGAAUUCCUAGUAAGCACAAGUCAUCAGCUUGUGCUGAUUACGUCCCUGCCCUUUGUACACACCGCCCGUCGCUACUACCGAUUGAAUGGCUAC
RNAcentral lists this ribosomal RNA (348 nucleotides) under Eukaryota sp. Its description in RNAcentral is "SSU rRNA". It matches the Rfam family "Eukaryotic small subunit ribosomal RNA", at positions 1324 to 1700 of the family's 1831-position model. The record is from RNAcentral.